Molecule: ribosomal RNA, 478 nt
Filed under: uncultured bacterium
Lineage: Bacteria
Description: partial 16S ribosomal RNA
Rfam family: Bacterial small subunit ribosomal RNA
Source: RNAcentral
GAUGAACGCUGGCGGCGUGCUUAACACAUGCAAGUCGAACGGGAAACCUUUUAUUGCAGCUUCGGCAGAUUUAGCUGGUUUCUAGUGGCGGACGGGUGAGUAACGCGUGGGUAACCUGCCUUAUACAGGGGGAUAACAGUCAGAAAUGGCUGCUAAUACCGCAUAAGCGCACAGAGCUGCAUGGCUCAGUGUGAAAAACUCCGGUGGUAUAAGAUGGACCCGCGUUGGAUUAGCUGGUUGGUGGGGUAACGGCCCACCAAGGCGACGAUCCAUAGCCGGCCCGAGAGGGUGAACGGCCACAUUGGGACUGAGACACGGCCCAGACUCCUACGGGAGGCAGCAGUGGGGAAUAUUGCACAAUGGGGGAAACCCUGAUGCAGCGACGCCGCGUGAAGGAAGAAGUAUCUCGGUAUGUAAACUUCUAUCAGCAGGGAAGAUAAUGACGGUACCUGACGAAGAAGCCCCGGCUAACUACGUG